This 500-nucleotide ribosomal RNA is filed under the name uncultured bacterium. RNAcentral describes it as "partial 16S ribosomal RNA". It matches the Rfam family "Bacterial small subunit ribosomal RNA", at positions 30 to 523 of the family's 1533-position model. The record is from RNAcentral.
AUUGAACGCUGGCGGCAUGCCUUACACAUGCAAGUCGAACGGCAGCACGGGAGCAAUCCUGGUGGCGAGUGGCGAACGGGUGAGUAAAGUAUCGGAACGUGCCCAGUCGUGGGGGAUCACGUAGCGAAAGUUACGCUAAUACCGCAUACGAUCUAUGGAUGAAAGCGGGGGAUCGCAAGACCUCGCGCGAUUGGAGCGGCCGAUAUCAGAUUAGGUAGUUGGUGGGGUAAAGGCUCACCAAGCCGACGAUCUGUAGCUGGUCUGAGAGGAUGAUCAGCCACACUGGGACUGAGACACGGCCCAGACUCCUACGGGAGGCAGCAGUGGGGAAUUUUGGACAAUGGGCGCAAGCCUGAUCCAGCCAUUCCGCGUGCAGGAUGAAGGCCUUCGGGUUGUAAACUGCUUUUGUACAGAACGAAAAGGCUCUGGUUAAUACCCGGGGCUCAUGACGGUACUGUAAGAACAAGCACCGGCUAACUACGUGCCAGCCGCCGCGGUAA